Molecule: ribosomal RNA, 364 nt
Filed under: uncultured bacterium
Lineage: Bacteria
Description: bacterial SSU rRNA
Rfam family: Bacterial small subunit ribosomal RNA
Source: RNAcentral
AACGAACGCUGGCGGCGCGCCUAACACAUGCAAGUCUCACGAGAAACCCUGUAGCAAUACAGGGCGGUAAAGUGGCGAACGGGUGAGUAAUGCGUGGGUAACCUACCUCCGAGAUGGGGGAUAACCCGCCGAAAGGCGGGCUAAUACCGAAUAAGACCACAUGCCGACAGGCACGGGGUAAAAGGUGGCCUAGGGUCCGCAAGGGCUAUGCUGCCGCUUGAAGAGGGCUCACGUCCCAUCAGCUUGUGGUAGGUAACGGCUUACCAAGGCAUGACGGUAGCUGGUCUGAGAGGACGACCAGCCACACUGGCACUGAGACACGGGCCAGACUCCUACGGAGGCAGCAGUGAGGAAUAUUGGGCAA